Molecule: non-coding RNA, 21 nt
Filed under: Arabidopsis thaliana (thale cress)
Lineage: Eukaryota; Viridiplantae; Streptophyta; Magnoliopsida; Brassicales; Brassicaceae
Source: RNAcentral
UCGGUGUGCGGAGUUCAUCUC